This 277-nucleotide ribosomal RNA is filed under the name Escherichia coli. Its description in RNAcentral is "partial 16S ribosomal RNA". It matches the Rfam family "Bacterial small subunit ribosomal RNA", at positions 1 to 274 of the family's 1533-position model. Lineage: Bacteria; Pseudomonadati; Pseudomonadota; Gammaproteobacteria; Enterobacterales; Enterobacteriaceae. The record is from RNAcentral. RNAcentral also lists the same sequence under 1 other name.
AAAUUGAAGAGUUUGAUCAUGGCUCAGAUUGAACGCUGGCGGCAGGCCUAACACAUGCAAGUCGAACGGUAACAGGAAGCAGCUUGCUGCUUCGCUGACGAGUGGCGGACGGGUGAGUAAUGUCUGGGAAACUGCCUGAUGGAGGGGGAUAACUACUGGAAACGGUAGCUAAUACCGCAUAAUGUCGCAAGACCAAAGAGGGGGACCUUCGGGCCUCUUGCCAUCGGAUGUGCCCAGAUGGGAUUAGCUUGUUGGUGGGGUAACGGCUCACCAAGGC